RNAcentral lists this ribosomal RNA (328 nucleotides) under uncultured eukaryote. Its description in RNAcentral is "partial 18S ribosomal RNA". It matches the Rfam family "Eukaryotic small subunit ribosomal RNA", at positions 1470 to 1796 of the family's 1831-position model. The record is from RNAcentral.
CCCUUAGAUGUCCUGGGCCGCACGCGCGUUACACUGAUGCAUUCAACGAGCUUAUAACCUUGGCCGAGAGGCCUGGGCAAUCAUGCUAACGUGCAUCGUGAUAGGGAUAGAUUAUUGAAAUUAUUAAUCUUGAACGAGGAAUUCCUAGUAAACGCAGAUCAUCAAUCUGCAUUGAUUACGUCCCUGCCCUUUGUACACACCGCCCGUCGCACCUACCGAUUGGAUGGUCCGGUGAAGCCUCGGGAUUGUGGUUCUUGCCGCUUUAUUGUGGCGUGACCGCGAGAACUUGUCUAAACCUUAUCAUCUAGAGGAAGGUGAAGUCGUAACA